This 1360-nucleotide ribosomal RNA is filed under the name metagenome. Its description in RNAcentral is "bacterial SSU rRNA". It matches the Rfam family "Bacterial small subunit ribosomal RNA", at positions 87 to 1431 of the family's 1533-position model. The record is from RNAcentral.
GCUGACGAGUGGCGAACGGGUGAGUAAUGUAUCGGAACGUACCAUUCAGUGGGGGAUAACGUAGCGAAGAUUACGCUAAUACCGCAUAUUCUGUGAGCAGGAAAGCAGGGGAUCGCAAGACCUUGCGCUGAUUGAGCGGCCGAUAUCAGAUUAGCUAGUUGGUGAGGUAAAGGCUCACCAAGGCGACGAUCUGUAGCGGGUCUGAGAGGAUGAUCCGCCACACUGGAACUGAGACACGGUCCGGACUCCUACGGGAGGCAGCAGUGGGGAAUUUUGGACAAUGGGGGCAACCCUGAUCCAGCCAUGCCGCGUGAGUGAAGAAGGCCUUCGGGUUGUAAAGCUCUUUCGGCCGGGAAAAAAUCGCAUAGGUUAAUACCCUGUGUGGAUGAUGGUACCGGAAUAAGAAGCACCGGCUAACUACGUGCCAGCAGCCGCGGUAAUACGUAGGGUGCGAGCGUUAAUCGGAAUUACUGGGCGUAAAGCGUGCGCAGGCGGUUUUGUAAGACAGGCGUGAAAUCCCCGGGCUCAACCUGGGAACUGCGCUUGUGACUGCAAGGCUAGAGUACGGCAGAGGGGGGUGGAAUUCCACGUGUAGCAGUGAAAUGCGUAGAGAUGUGGAGGAACACCAAUGGCGAAGGCAGCCCCCUGGGUCGAUACUGACGCUCAUGCACGAAAGCGUGGGUAGCAAACAGGAUUAGAUACCCUGGUAGUCCACGCCCUAAACGAUGUCAACUAGGUGUUGGGUGGGUAAAACCAUUUAGUACCGUAGCUAACGCGAGAAGUUGACCGCCUGGGGAGUACGGCCGCAAGGUUAAAACUCAAAGGAAUUGACGGGGACCCGCGCAAGCGGUGGAUGAUGUGGAUUAAUUCGAUGCAACGCGAAGAACCUUACCUGGCCUUGACAUACAGCGUGAAAGGUGGAGAAACCCAUUGACGGUCCGAAAGGAUGCUGGGGCUGUACAGGUGCUGCAUGGUUGUCGUCAGCUCGUGUCGUGAGAUGUUGGCUUAAGUGCCGCAACGAGCGCAACCCUUGUGUUUAGUUGCUCAUUGGCAACAGUGAGAUCUCUAAACAGACUGCCUCGCUUUAAACGAGGAGGAAGGUGAGGAUGACGUCAAAUCAGUAUGGCCCUUACGGCCAGGGCUGCACACGUGCUACAAUGCUCGGUACAGAGGGAUGCAAGACCGCGAGGUGGAGCAAAUCCUAGAAAACCGAGCCCAGUUCAGAUUGAAGGCUGCAACUCGCCUUCAUGAAGCCGGAAUCGCUAGUAAUGGCGUAUCAGCUACGACGCCGUGAAUACGUUCCCGGGCCUUGUACACACCGCCCGUCACAUCAUGGAAGCUGUCUGCACCCGAAGUCGCC